CAAAAUAAAUUGGACUUUUAAUCGAUAUCAGCUUGUGGCGACAUCUGGUUGAUCCAUUCGAAGUAAUUUAAGAAAAGAGUUCAAAUGAAAACAAUUAACCGCUUUUUCUGGUUUCUUUGAAAUUUAUUCAUUAAAUUUUAUUGUCAUUACAAUUUUGUUUUUCGUCUUAAUUGUUCUUUUGGUUAAUUGUGUGAUUACUUUCAAGAUUAUUUUGGUGCCUUUGUAGAAAACAAUGUCAAUUGGAAGUGUUUGUACGUGGAAAGAGAAAGAGGAUAAAUUGGUAAAUUGUUUUGUUCCAUUGAAAAGAAUAUUUUUGAUAAAAAUGAGAACUACAAAGAAUAUCAAGAGUUGAUUAAGGAGAGUUACACUUCUCUUUAUGAUUAUAUUAAAUUGGAACUUGAGGAUGGUGAAGAUCCUUUGGAGAAAAUUGAGAAGGAAGAGAAAAUAGUGAAAGAGAAUAUUGAAAAUGCGAAAAAUGAGGUGAAAAGAUUAGACGAAAGUAAACAAAAUUUGAAAGUGUCUUGUAAAAAGCGCCAAUUAAAGGAAAUUGAAGAGAUGAGAUAAUCCAAACCUUGGAAUUGAUAUAAAUUCUAAGAACAAAUUCAAAGUUCUGAGUAAAUUCUUGAAUGUCUCAUAUAAAACUGACCAAGAUGGUCAAGCGACUGCAGUUCUUUUCAAAGAUGGUAACCGACAGAUCCGAUUCGAUGACCAAAGUCGAUCCAAGCAACAAAAGAUGAACGAAUCUUGGAAUAUAUUUAAAAUAACAAUCGAAAAUAAUCAUGAUCAUCUUUUUAUUGUCGUUUAAGUGUUUUGCAUCAUUAAAUUACCUCAAUAGAUUUAGCAACAAUUAGUUCUAAUUCGGGUUCAUUAGUGGACAACCAUCAAGUUAAUCCAAUAAAAUCUCUGACAAUUAGGCUGCGAAUGAGCGUUGUUAUAUUACAGCAUUUCUCAGUAACUUUCACCGAGUUACCAAGAAGUUUAGUCGAGUUCCCAUUUGGAUUAGUCAACCCGAUAGAUGGCAGAAUUUUUUUCAAUUCUUUGUCAAAAAUACAACUUAGAUGUUUCCUUUUUUUUAUCGCUCCUGAUAAACUUUAAUUUAAUUAACUUUACCUGUGAAUUUAAAAUUUAAUUUCAUGUUAUUAUUGUUUAUCUUGUCACACGGAACAAGUUGGUACCAAAAUCACGAUAGUUCAACAGUUAAUUCAGUUGUUUUUUGUUACUCUUAAAACUGAGACUCUUGUUGCGUCGUAAUAACUUCAACCAUUUUUGUUCUCUUGUUAAACUUAUUUGGACCUCAUCUCCACUUCCAUCUCAACCCUUGGUAUUUACAAUCAUCAAAUUGGACCUUUGGACAAUCAAACUAACCACCAGUCAAUUAAUAUAAUUUAUAAAUUUUCUUUUGUUUUUACCUAAUAAUUUGUAAACCAAAUCUAUUGUAAUUUCCCUCCCUGAAGUUGUCUGGAACAACUUUCCUCCACAGGAGGAGCUACAGAAAUACACUGUAGUAAUAAUGUUAACUCAUUGCAUCCAUCAGGAUGUUACCAAUAAAAUUGUCAAUGAGUUUCGCAGAUUAUCAAUUCAUUUGGUCAACUUCUCAGAACAAUUAGUCAAGUAGCUCAAUAUUACAUGAAGAUGAAUAAAAUGAAAAAAUUACUCAAAAUUCAUCAGUGAUUACGAAAAAAAUGAAAACAAUUUUCUAUCGAAACAU
Molecule: long non-coding RNA, 1708 nt
Organism: Panonychus citri (citrus red mite)
Lineage: Eukaryota; Metazoa; Arthropoda; Arachnida; Trombidiformes; Tetranychidae
Exons: 3
Source: RefSeq, a predicted model, not a curated record